RNAcentral lists this long non-coding RNA (500 nucleotides) under Pongo abelii (Sumatran orangutan). RNAcentral's name for it is "lincRNA". Lineage: Eukaryota; Metazoa; Chordata; Mammalia; Primates; Hominidae. The record is from RNAcentral.
GAUGUCAAGACUUGGAGUAGGUGACAGUUGGCCUUGGGCUUCGGUGGCCAACCCAUGACUACAAAAGCCCAAGAAGCCAGCAGGUCCCCCGGCUCCUCCACCAAGUGGCCUCUGGGUGAUGGGGAAGCUUGUCCUCUGCUUUGUCACACACAAAAUUCUAAAAGUCAGGAUCCCAACGCAUCAGCCUGGAGAGCCCGUCCAGGAGGAUUUAUGUGGAAUCUGGCUUUUCUGAUAGCAUCAACGUUCCUUCCCAUGCCUUCUGAGUCUCUUUCUCUUAAUUUGACUGUGGUCUCUGCUCUUUGCUGGACUCGUGUUGAAUAGGACACUGAAGGACAAGGAGGAACUUAUCCAUGGAGGGGGUAGGGGGAGAUGUCACAAAUUCUGCACCAGAAUCUCACAAAUCACAAAGAACUUACUCAUGUAACCAAACACCACCUGUUUCCCAAUAACUAUGGAAAUAAAAAAAAAAAUUUUAAUAAUAAAAAAAUUAAAAAACAAAA